This 956-nucleotide non-coding RNA is filed under the name Afronycteris nanus (Banana bat). RNAcentral's name for it is "12S ribosomal RNA". It matches the Rfam family "Bacterial small subunit ribosomal RNA". The record is from RNAcentral. Lineage: Eukaryota; Metazoa; Chordata; Mammalia; Chiroptera; Vespertilionidae.
CAUAGGCUUGGUCCUGGCCUUUCUAUUAGUUAUCAAUGAACUUACACAUGCAAGAAUCCCCACACCUGUGAAAAUGCCCUCUAACCACUAUUUGGUCAUAGGAGCUGGUAUCAAGCACACUUAUAAAGUAGCUCACAACACCUUGCUAAGCCACACCCCCACGGGAAACAGCAGUGAUAAAAAUUAAGCAAUAAAUGAAAGUUUGACUAAGUUACAUUGACUAGGACUGGUAAAUUUCGUGCCAGCCACCGCGGUCAUACGAUUAGCCCAAACUAAUAGAUAUCGGCGUAAAGUGUGUUUUAGAGCCCAAUCUAGUAAUAAAGUCAAACCUUAACCAAGCUGUAAAAAGCCCUCGUUAUCGUAAGAUACUUAACGAAAGUAACUUUAAUUUUUCUGACUACACAAUAGCUAGGACCCAAACUGGGAUUAGAUACCCCACUAUGCCUAGCCCUAAACAUAGAAAAUUAUAAACAAAAUUAUCCGCCAGAGUACUACCAGCAAAAGCUAGAAACUCAAAGGACUUGGCGGUGCCUUAUAUCCUUCUAGAGGAGCCUGUUCCAUAAUCGAUAAACCCCGAUAUACCCAACCAGUCUUUGCUAAAUCAGCCUAUAUACCGCCAUCUUCAGCAAACCCUAAAAAGGAAGUAUAGUAAGCACAAAUAUUAACAUAAACACGUUAGGUCAAGGUGUAGCCUAUAGAUUGGAGAGAAAUGGGCUACAUUUCCCAAAUUAGGGAUACCUUACGAAAAUUUGUGUGAAACCACUAAUUAAAGGUGGAUUUAGCAGUAAAUUAAGAAUAGAGUGCUUGAUUGAAUAAGGCCAUGAGGCACGCACACACCGCCCGUCACCCUCCUCAAACAACAAACACAAAAUUAUACAUAAAACUUUAAGUAAAGAUUUGCAAGAGGAGAUAAGUCGUAACAAGGUAAGUGUACUGGAAAGUGCACUUGGAUAACA